RNAcentral lists this ribosomal RNA (454 nucleotides) under Toxoplasma gondii. Its description in RNAcentral is "SSU rRNA". It matches the Rfam family "Eukaryotic small subunit ribosomal RNA", at positions 624 to 1086 of the family's 1831-position model. Lineage: Eukaryota; Apicomplexa; Conoidasida; Eucoccidiorida; Sarcocystidae. The record is from RNAcentral.
AAGCUCGUUAUUGGAUUUCUGCUGGAAGCAGCCAGUCCGCCCUCAGGGGUGUGCACUUGGUGAAUUCUAGCAUCCUUCUGGAUUUCUCCACACUUCAUUGUGUGGAGUUUUUUCCAGGACUUUUACUUUGAGAAAAUUAGAGUGUUUCAAGCAGGCUUGUCGCCUUGAAUACUGCAGCAUGGAAUAAUAAGAUAGGAUUUCGGCCCUAUUUUGUUGGUUUCUAGGACUGAAGUAAUGAUUAAUAGGGACGGUUGGGGGCAUUCGUAUUUAACUGUCAGAGGUGAAAUUCUUAGAUUUGUUAAAGACGAACUACUGCGAAAGCAUUUGCCAAAGAUGUUUUCAUUAAUCAAGAACGAAAGUUAGGGGCUCGAAGACGAUCAGAUACCGUCGUAGUCUUAACCAUAAACUAUGCCGACUAGAGAUAGGAAAACGUCAUGCUUGACUUCUCCUGCAC